Molecule: ribosomal RNA, 444 nt
Filed under: uncultured bacterium
Lineage: Bacteria
Description: bacterial SSU rRNA
Rfam family: Bacterial small subunit ribosomal RNA
Source: RNAcentral
GUAGGGAAUAUUGGGCAAUGGUCGGAAGACUGACCCAGCCAUGCCGCGUGCAGGAAGACGGCCCUCUGGGUUGUAAACUGCUUUUAUCUGGGAAGAAAAAGGCCAUGCGUGGCAAAUUGCCGGUACCAGAUGAAUAAGCACCGGCUAACUCCGUGCCAGCAGCCGCGGUAAUACGGAGGGUGCGAGCGUUGUCCGGAUUUAUUGGGGUUAAAGGGUGCGUAGGCGGCUGAUUAAGUCAGCGGUGAAAGACUUCGGCUUAACCGGAGCAGUGCCGUUGAUACUGGUUGGCUUGAGUGUCGGAGUGGUACAUGGAAUUGAUGGUGUAGCGGUGAAAUGCAUAGAUACCAUCAGGAACACCGAUAGCGAAGGCAUUGUACUGGCCGACAACUGACGCUGAUGCACGAAAGUGUGGGGAUCGAACAGGAUUAGAAACCCUUGUAGUCC